UGAGUUAGAGUAAACUGUCAAGACUUAAAACUUACUUACUUUAUCUUUCACCAUGGGACUUGUAACCGUCACUUCUGUCUUGAGUAGUUAAAAGAUAGAACAGUCUAGCCAAGUGCCAUGUCUCUUAUUCUUGAUCAGCUAUAGCUCUGGAGUUUUUGCAGAUUUUCAAAUAAAACCCAGAGAUUCCUUGUAUGACUCUCUCAUAUCUCUCUUUUGUGGUAUUUGUGGAUCCUUACCAAGGCAGUGAUGGUAUAUGCCUUCUCUCAAAAUAUGUGGUAUUUGUGGUAUAAGGCAUAGUGACAUUGCCUUCUCUCUCACCCUACUCUAAUAAGUCUUUAAUAUCUGGAGCUCAUAGGUGGGAGAUAAAGUAUACAUACUUACAAGACAUGUAUUGCAUAGUCAAACCAUGGAUCCAAAGAAACAAGUCAAUAAGCCAAAUCAAGAUGUGCAUGUGUGGCGAAUGAAUGGUGUAUGGUGAUGAUGGUGAUAACAAUGGUGGAAACAAUGGUGGUGGAAGUCUAAUUCUACUUUUGCUCUUUUGAGGGGAUACAUACCUUUCUUGCUCUUGAAACUUUAUGAGGAGAAUGAGAUGCUCUUCUUUUUCUUUUCUUUUCUCUCAGGUGGGUAUCCUGUACCCCUAAUUCUACUGUCGGACACUUGUCCAUUUUUACCUCUCGUCUCACUCUUUUUCUUUUCUUUCGAGGUUCCAGGCACUUGCCCCUUUUUAUUUCCUCGUUUAUUUUUUUUUUCUUUUCUUUUUUUUCCUUUUUUUUAGAGCACUCAUCUCUUGAGAUAAUAUAGCAAGUGGUAGUAGCAAGAUAACUUGAGCAUUUAUUUCACAAAGGAAAAACACAGAUGUUUUUGGCUAUUCUCUCCCGAAUUAGGAGUAGAAUAUUUUUAGGUGAUUCUGGAGAUGGAAAUGGAUGGAUAUAUGUGGAUGGUACUUCCGGAGUAGAAAUAGCAUAUAUAUGAGUGAACGUGCAAGUGAAUCUUGAUUUAACCACAUGACAAGCUCCUAAGGGUCUACACAGCUUGACCACACUCAAUGCUCAUAAGCAGUAAAUAAUAAAUGUGUGGCUCAAAGUCUAGCAAGCAUGUAUAUAUGGCUGUGGUAGGAAUUUAAACUCUCAUCAUACAGGAACUCAUCAUGCAACAUUUUAAAGAUUUUCAAAGAUAAAAUUCUCCAGAAUUCUAGCAUCUCUAGGAACAGAUAAACAGCAGCUCAACCUUCCCAUAUCUUAUCCGUUAACAACUUAUAUUUCAGAUCAAGUUUUCAUCCCACAAGUUUAGAUCUAGAGCAAGCUUUAAAUUAUAACAGUUAUGUCUAAACUUGAGAGAGAACUUUAAAUUUGCAAAUUAGGCAGAGCAACUAUUCAUUAUAUCCAUGCUAGAGUUUUAUUAUUAAGAUUCAUAGCAAACUUUAUUUAUUUAUUUAUUUAUUUAGCAAACUAAGAAAAGGUAUAUAUAUAUAUAAGCAUAAAAUCUUUAUUUGGUUUUUCAUAGUUUAUGUAUUUUAAUAUUCUAAUAUAAUAUAAGUAUAAAGAUAGGUAGAAAUAUUUAGCGAGAUAAAUAGGGGUGCUCUCCCCCAAGCUGAAUUUUGACGUAAUUUCUCUUGAUGUAGCUAGCAGGUGGCAGAGGUGUAUUUGAAAGUCAGCAGCAUUCUGACAGCGAUUAGAAUGUCCUCCGUCUGCUAGUCUUCUUGAUUCUUAAAUUCUGUGGAGCUCAAAUAGACAACGAAGCUUGUGGAACUAAUUAAGUGUUAGCAUAAAUAUCUAUCCUUCAUCAUGUUGAGCUUCCUCAAUAAAUAUUACUCUCUGUUUUUAUAUUUUUAUUUUAUAAACAAAAAAGAAAUAUUUAUUUUAUUUUUAUGCCACCACAGUGAAGGUACUUAUGGGUUUUAUGCCACUCGUAUACUCACAUGGGGCUUAGUAUUUUUUAAUAUUUUUAUUUCCUUUUCAAGAUAGCAUGAUUAACUAAUAAUCUAUUUAAGGAAAGUAAAUAAUUAAAGGGAAAAGUGAAUGCAGAAAGGAUAAAUAUGGAUAACUACCAAUCUUACCUUUCGGCGAGGGUUCAAUGUUUUAAGUCUUCUUGUCAAGACUUCUCAUCGUGUUCAUUCUUCAGGUGCGUCAUUUGAUUCAGGUGCGGACCUUGACGUCUGCACCUUUUAAUACGGUGUCACCCAUGUUCUUCGUUUGCCCAGCAGUUCGAAGUGCGGUGUUAGCAGUAUCUUGCUCAAUGUGUUUGUGCUCGUAGUGUACCUUGCUUGAAGAGUGAUGAUACAGUAUCAUCUUGUGGAAGCUUUCCUUUCUUAGCGGUUGUGCAUCGUGUUUGUGGCACCCUCCAUGGAUCAUCUCUCUAUGAUGAAUGAGCUAUGUCCUUCUUGUGCAAAUUGUUAAACUUCAUGUGUCACUCUCUUCGUCUCUGAUGUGAGUUUAUCUCAGGACUUCCCAAAUCGAUAUUGAAAGUUUUUCUGCAGGGGUUAGUCCGACAAAAUAUACCAAUAUCUACUCAAGCAGUUUUUUUUAGUUCAAUAACCAAACUAGACUCCAUGUCUAAUCAGAUUAAGGAAGGCUAUUUAACCUAAGCACCAUGCUUAAUUUAAAUGCCAAUGGAAGUAUGGCGAGUACUUCCCAACCAACACUUGCUAGUAAAUAGACAAAGGUAGCAUGACAACAUUUAUAGAGAUCUACUCA
RNAcentral lists this long non-coding RNA (2693 nucleotides) under Sorghum bicolor (sorghum). RNAcentral's name for it is "long non-coding RNA (SBIC_LNC000878)". Lineage: Eukaryota; Viridiplantae; Streptophyta; Magnoliopsida; Poales; Poaceae. The record is from RNAcentral.